CUAAGCACAGCUCUCGCAUCC
Molecule: microRNA, 21 nt
Filed under: Vitis vinifera (wine grape)
Lineage: Eukaryota; Viridiplantae; Streptophyta; Magnoliopsida; Vitales; Vitaceae
Description: vvi-miR3628-3p
Source: miRBase by way of RNAcentral